UAUCCUUGGAAUUUCUAUCUAAGACUCUCAUAGAUAUAAGACCCCUCUCACUUCCCUUCAAUCACAGACAGUGAUAAUGACUUUAAUCAAAUAAUAGAAGACACUCUUCCAAAACAUAUAAUCCACUAUUUCUUAAAAGCUUAUGAGUGAUUUAACAACCUUUUCAUCAUACAACUGAAGAAAAGAUAAAACAACAUUAAUAAUCACAAGCACAAAACCAAACAACCAAACACUUGGUAUAACACCAAGAC
This 251-nucleotide long non-coding RNA is filed under the name Lathyrus oleraceus (garden pea). RNAcentral's name for it is "Pisum sativum (pea) long non-coding RNA (PSAT_LNC000950)". Lineage: Eukaryota; Viridiplantae; Streptophyta; Magnoliopsida; Fabales; Fabaceae. The record is from RNAcentral.